Molecule: ribosomal RNA, 3552 nt
Filed under: Plenodomus lingam (blackleg of rapeseed fungus)
Lineage: Eukaryota; Fungi; Ascomycota; Dothideomycetes; Pleosporales; Leptosphaeriaceae
Description: eukaryotic LSU rRNA
Rfam family: Eukaryotic large subunit ribosomal RNA
Source: RNAcentral
ACAACUUUUAACAAUAGAUCUCUUAGUUCUAGUAUUAAUAAAGAACGGAGAGAAAUGCGAUAAGUAGUGUAAAUUGUAGAAUUUAGUAAAUUAUUAAAUCUUUAAACGUAUAUUACGCCCCUUAGUAUUCUAUAGGGCAUACCUAUUUAAGCGUUAUUUGUACCCUUAAGCUCUGCUUAGUGUUAGGUGUUUGUUCUACUUAGGACUCGCCUUAAAACAAUUGGUAGCUAGCAUAUUAGCCUAGAGCGCAGCACAUUUUGCGCCUCUUAUUAUAGUUAUUAGUAUCUAUUAAGACACUUUUUAAGCUCUUAACCUUAGAUUAGGUAGGGAUACCUGCUAAACUUAAGCAUAUUAAUAAGCAGAGGAAAAGAAACUAAUAGGGAUUGCCCUAGUAAUAGCGAGUGAAGCGGCAACAGCUUAAAUUUAAAAUCUAGCUCUUUUAGGGUCCAAGUUAUAAUUUGCAGAGGGCGCUUUAGCAUUAGCAGUGGUCUAAGUUCCUUAGAAUAGGACGUUAUAGAGGGUAAGAAUCCUAUACGUAGUCGCUAGCCUUCGCCGUGUAAAGCCCCUUUAACAAGUUAAGUUAUUUAGGAAUAUAGCUCUAAAUAGGAGGUAAAUUUCUUCUAAAGCUAAAUACUAGCUAGAGACUAAUAGCGCACAAGUAGAGUAAUUAAAAGAUAAAAAGCACUUUAGAAAGAGAGUUAAAUAGCACGUGAAAUUGUUAAAAGGGAAGCGCUUGCAGCUAGACUUGCCUGUAGUUACUUAUCUAGGCUUUUAUCUAGUGCACUCUUCUAUAGGCAGGCUAGUAUUAGUUUAGGUGGUUAGAUAAAGGUCUCUGUCACGUACCUCCCUUUAGGGAGGCCUUAUAGGGGAGACGACAUGUAACUAGCCUAGACUAAGGUCCACGCAUCUGCUAGGAUGCUAGCGUAAUAGCUAUAAGCGGCCUGUCUUAAAACAUAGACUAAGGAGUCUAACAUCUAUGCAAGUGUUUAGGUGUUAAGCCUAGACGCGUAAUAAAAGUAAACAGAGGUAGGAACCCUUUUAGGGUGCACUAUUAACUAAUCCUAAUAUCUUUAGAAGGAUUUAAGUAAGAGCAUAGCUAUUAGGACCUAAAAGAUAGUAAACUAUGCUUAAAUAGGGUGAAGCUAGAGGAAACUCUAGUAGAGGCUCGCAGCAGUUCUAACGUGCAAAUUAAUUGUUAAAUUUAGGUAUAGGGGCAAAAGACUAAUCAAACUAUCUAGUAGCUAGUUCCUGCUAAAGUUUCCCUUAGGAUAGCAGUAACGUAUUUAGUUUUAUAAGGUAAAGCGAAUAAUUAGAGGCCUAGGGGUUAAAACAACCUUUACCUAUUCUUAAACUUUAAAUAUAUAAGAAGUCCUUAUUACUUAAUUAAACAUAGACACUUAAAUAUACUAUUACUAGUAGGCUAUUUUUAGUAAGCAGAACUAGCAAUAUAGGAUAAACUAAAUGUAGGGUUAAGGUGCUAGAAUACACACUUAUUAGACACUACAAAAGGUGUUAGUUUAUCUAGAUAGCAGGACAGUAGCUAUAGAAGUUAGAAUCCACUAAGGAGUGUGUAACAACUUACCUACUAAAUAAACUAGCCCUAAAAAUAGAUGGCGCUUAAGCGUGUUACCUAUACCCCGCCGCUAGGGCAAGAUUUAAGCCCUAGCAAGUAGGUAGGCGUAGAGGCUUGUAACAAAGCCUUAGGGGUAACCCUAGGUAGAAUAGCCUCUAGUGCAGAUCUUAGUAGUAGUAGCAAAUACUUAAAUAAGAACUUUAAGGACUAAAGUAGGGAAAGGUUCUAUGUAAACAGCAGUUAGACACAGGUUAGUUAAUCCUAAGAGAUAGGGUAAUUCUGUUUUAAUAUUAGUGCUUGCGCCGCGCCCUUAAAAGGGAAGCUAGUUAAUAUUCUAGCACCUAGAUGUAGAUUCUCCGCGGCAACGCAACUAAGAGCGGAGACCUUAGCAGGAGCCCUAAGAAGAGUUCUCUUUUCUUCUUAACAGUCUGUUACCCUAAAAUUAGUUUGUCUAGAGCUAGGGUUUAAUAGCUAGAAGAGCGCUGCACUUUUGCAGCGUUUAGUGCGCUCCUAACAAGCCUUAAAAAUCUACUUAAAGAAAUAGUUUUUACGCUAGGUUGUACUUAUAACCACAGCAGGUCUCUAAGGUAAAAAGCCUCUAGUUAAUAGAACAAUGUAGAUAAGGGAAGUUAGCAAAAUAGAUCUAUAACUUUAGGAAAAGGAUUAGCUCUAAGGGUUAGGUACGUUAGGCCUUAGGGAGAAGCCUCUAGCGUAGAAGGGCACUAACCGCAAGGUAGGCGCCUCUUAGCGCUAGGGUGCAGACACCCUUAGCAGGUUUUAGCCGUCUAGCGUACGUUUAACAACUAACUUAGAACUAGUAUAGAUAAGGGGAAUCUAACUAUCUAAUUAAAACAUAGCAUUGCAAUAGCUAGAAAGUAGUAUUAAUAUAAUAUAAUUUCUGCCUAGUGCUCUAAAUAUUAAAGCGAAGAGAUUUAACUAAGCGCAGGUAAAUAGCGGGAGUAACUAUAACUCUCUUAAGGUAGCUAAAUGCCUUAUUAUCUAAUUAGUAACGCGUAUAAAUAGAUUAACAAGAUUCCUACUAUCCCUAUCUACUAUCUAGCGAAACUACAGCUAAGGGAACAGGCUUAGCCAAAUUAGCAGGGAAAGAAGACCCUAUUAAGCUUAACUCUAGUUUAACAUUAUAAAAAGAUAUAGGGGGUGUAGAAUAGGUAGGAGCUUUAGUGCUAGUAAAAUACCACUACCCUUAUCGUUUUUUUACUUAUUCAAUAAAGCAGAGCUAGGCCUUACUACCUAACUUCUAGCGUUUAAGGUCCUUUGUAGGCUAAUCUAGGUUAAAGAUAUUGUUAGGUAGGGAGUUUAGCUAGGGCGGCAUAUCUAUUAAACUAUAACGCAGGUGUCCUAAGGGGGACUUAUAGAGAACAGAAAUCUCUAGUAGAGCAAAAGGGCAAAAGUCCCCUUAAUUUUGAUUUUUAGUGUGAAUACAAACUAUAAAAGUGUAGCCUAUUAAUCCUUUAGUCCCUUAAAAUUUAAGGCUAGAGGUGCUAGAAAAGUUACUAUAGGGAUAACUAGCUUGUGGCAGCCAAGCGUUCAUAGCAACGUUGCUUUUUAAUCCUUUAAUAUUAGCUCUUCCUAUUAUACUAAAGUAGAAUUUAGUAAGCGUUGGAUUGUUCACCUACUAAUAGGGAAUGUAAGCUAGGUUUAGACCGUCGUAAGACAGGUUAGUUUUACCCUACUAAUAACCUUGCCCUAAUAGUAAUACCGCUUAGUACAAGAGGAACCGCAGUUUUAGAUAAUUAGUUUUUGCGGCUAUCUAACUAGGCAUUGCUGCAAAGCUACUAUCUACUAGAUUAUAGCUAAACGCCUCUAAGUUAGAAUCCAUGCUAGAAUAGGGUAAUUUCCGCCUGCACUAGUUAGAUACAAAUAGGCCUUUGGCCUAGAACCUUACUAGAUUAGCGUUAGCAGCCCUAUUAAAGUUAGAGUUAUUAGCUAGUGUAUUAUAAUUAUAUAGUGCGCAGGAU